RNAcentral lists this ribosomal RNA (404 nucleotides) under uncultured bacterium. RNAcentral describes it as "bacterial SSU rRNA". It matches the Rfam family "Bacterial small subunit ribosomal RNA", at positions 355 to 774 of the family's 1533-position model. The record is from RNAcentral.
UGGGGAAUAUUGGGCAAUGGGGGAAACCCUGACCCAGCAACGCCGCGUGAAGGAAGAAGGUUUUCGGAUCGUAAACUUCUAUCCUUGGUGAAGAGAAGAAGACGGUAGCCAAGAAGGAAGCCCCGGCUAACUACGUGCCAGCAGCCGCGGUAAUACGUAGGGGGCAAGCGUUAUCCGGAUUUAUUGGGUUUAAAGGGAGCGUAGGCGGAUGUUUAAGUCAGUUGUGAAAGUUUGCGGCUCAACCGUAGAAUUGCAGUUGAUACUGGACAUCUUGAGUGCAGUAAAGGUGGGCGGAAUUCGUGGUGUAGCGGUGAAAUGCUUAGAUAUCACGAAGAACUCCAAUUGCGAAGGCAGCUUGCUGGACUGUAACUGACGCUGAUGCUCGAAAGCGUGGGGAGCAAACA